This 460-nucleotide ribosomal RNA is filed under the name uncultured bacterium. RNAcentral's name for it is "partial 16S ribosomal RNA". It matches the Rfam family "Bacterial small subunit ribosomal RNA", at positions 338 to 795 of the family's 1533-position model. The record is from RNAcentral.
CCUACGGGUGGCAGCAGUGAGGAAUAUUGGUCAAUGGACGAGAGUCUGAACCAGCCAAGUAGCGUGAAGGAUGACUGCCCUAUGGGUUGUAAACUUCUUUUAUAUGGGAAUAAAAUGUUCCACGUGUGGGGUUUUGUAUGUACCAUAUGAAUAAGGACCGGCUAAUUCCGUGCCAGCAGCCGCGGUAAUACGGAGGGUCCGGGCGUUAUCCGGAUUUAUUGGGUUUAAAGGGAGCGUAGGUGGAUUGUUAAGGCAGUUAUGAAAGUUUGCGGCUCAACCGUAAAAGUGCAGUUGAAACUGGCAGUCUUGAGUACAGUAGAGGUGGGCGGAAUUCGUGGUGUAGCGGUGAAAUGCUUAGAUAUCACGAAGAACUCCGAUUGCGAAGGCAGCUCACUGGACUGCAACUGACACUGAGGCUCGAAAGUGUGGGUAUCGAACAGGAUUAGAUACCCUAGUAGUC